GAGGAUAGUGUUUAUUAGAUACAGAACCAAUACACCAUCUGUUUAUCAGGUGGUGUAAAAAAGGUGAUUCAUAGUAACCGAACGGAUCGCAUUAUGGUCAUUUUAUAUGGCUGGCGAUAGAUCAUUCAAGUUUCUGACCUAUCAGCUUUCGACGGUAGUGUAUUGGACUACCGUGGCAGUGACGGGUAACGGGGAAUUAGGGUUCGAUUCCGGAGAGGGAGCCUGAGAAACGGCUACCACAUCUAAGGAAGGCAGCAGGCGCGCAAAUUACCCAAUCCUGACUCAGGGAGGUAGUGACAAGAAAUAACAACACUGGAAAUUUUAUUUCUAGUGAUUGGAAUGAUGGGAAUUUAAACCCCUUUCAGAGUAACAAUUGGAGGGCAAGUCUGGUGCCAGCAGCCGCGGUAAUUCCAGCUCCAAUAGCGUAUAUUAAAGUUGUUGCAGUUAAAAAGCUCGUAGUUGGAUGUCUGCUGGAAGCAAUCAGUCCGCCCUAUUUGUAGGGUGUGCACUUGAUGAAUUCUGGCAUCUAUGUCCCAAUAAUGUGGUGGUGUAUACCCUGUGUAUUACCCAUCUAUAUUGGGAUAAUACCGUUACUUUGAGAAAAUUAGAGUGUUUGAAGCAGGCUAAUUGCCUUGAAUACUGCAGCAUGGAAUAACAAUAUAGGAUUUCGGUUCUAUUUUGUUGGUUUCUAGGACUGAAAUAAUGAUUAAUAGGGACAGUUGGGGGCAUUCGU
Molecule: ribosomal RNA, 733 nt
Filed under: Sarcocystis cf. cruzi
Lineage: Eukaryota; Apicomplexa; Conoidasida; Eucoccidiorida; Sarcocystidae
Description: SSU rRNA
Rfam family: Eukaryotic small subunit ribosomal RNA
Source: RNAcentral